Molecule: ribosomal RNA, 471 nt
Filed under: uncultured bacterium
Lineage: Bacteria
Description: bacterial SSU rRNA
Rfam family: Bacterial small subunit ribosomal RNA
Source: RNAcentral
CUCGUCACUCCUACGGGAGGCAGCAGUGGGGAAUAUUGCACAAUGGGGGAAACCCUGAUGCAGCCAUGCCGCGUGUGUGAAGAAGGCCUUCGGGUUGUAAAGCACUUUCAGUAGGGAGGAAGGUAGUGUAGUUAACACCUGCAUUAUUUGACGUUACCUACAGAAGAAGCACCGGCUAACUCCGUGCCAGCAGCCGCGGUAAUACGGAGGGUGCGAGCGUUAAUCGGAAUUACUGGGCGUAAAGCGCAUGCAGGCGGCCUGUUAAGUCAGAUGUGAAAGCCCGGGGCUUAACCUCGGAAUUGCAUUUGAAACUGGCAGGCUAGAGUCUUGUAGAGGGGGUAGAAUUUCAGGUGUAGCGGUGAAAUGCGUAGAGAUCUGAAGGAAUACCAGUGGCGAAGGCGGCCCCCUGGACAAAGACUGACGCUCAGAUGCGAAAGCGUGGGGAGCAAACAGGAUUAGAUACCCUGGUAG